This 107-nucleotide ribosomal RNA is filed under the name uncultured bacterium. RNAcentral's name for it is "partial 16S ribosomal RNA". It matches the Rfam family "Bacterial small subunit ribosomal RNA", at positions 1367 to 1482 of the family's 1533-position model. The record is from RNAcentral.
UACGUUCCCGGACCUUAUACACACCGCCCGUCAAGCCAUGGAAGUUGGGAGGACCUGAAGACAGUUGCCGCGAGGCGCUGUUUAGGGUUAAACCGAUGACUGGGGCU